This 486-nucleotide ribosomal RNA is filed under the name uncultured Propionibacterium sp. Its description in RNAcentral is "bacterial SSU rRNA". It matches the Rfam family "Bacterial small subunit ribosomal RNA", at positions 8 to 507 of the family's 1533-position model. The record is from RNAcentral. Lineage: Bacteria; Bacillati; Actinomycetota; Actinomycetes; Propionibacteriales; Propionibacteriaceae.
AGAGUUUGAUCCUGGCUCAGGACAACGCUGGCGGCGUGCUUAACACAUGCAAGUCGAACGGAAAGGCCCUGCUUUUGUGGGGUGCUCGAGUGGCAACGGGUGAGUAACACGUGAGUAACCUGCCCUUGACUUUGGGAUAACUUCAGGAAACUGGGGCCAAUACCGGAUAGGAGCUCCUGCUGCAUGGUGGGGGUUGGAAAGUUUCGGCGGUUGGGGAUGGACUCGCGGCUUAUCAGCUUGUUGGUGGGGUAGUGGCUUACCAAGGCUUUGACGGGUAGCCGGCCUGAGAGGGUGAUCGGCCACAUUGGGACUGAGAUACGGCCCAGACUCCUACGGGAGGCAGCAGUGGGGAAUAUUGCACAAUGGGCGGAAGCCUGAUGCAGCAACGCCGCGUGCGGGAUGACGGCCUUCGGGUUGUAAACCGCUUUCGCCUGUGACGAAGCGUGAGUGACGGUAAUGGGUAAAGAAGCACCGGCUAACUACGUG